Molecule: long non-coding RNA, 1073 nt
Organism: Macrobrachium nipponense
Lineage: Eukaryota; Metazoa; Arthropoda; Malacostraca; Decapoda; Palaemonidae
Exons: 4
Source: RefSeq, a predicted model, not a curated record
AUUUGGCUCUUGACACUGAGGAACUAAACAUCCUCCAAGAAUGAUGGGGAGGGCUUCCAGGAGGUUGUGCGACUACAAGAGCGACAACUGGACAACAGCGAUCUCCAAAGGAUAUUGGAUUUAACAGUUGGCAAAGCAAAAGAUUUUGAACGUGUACGAAUAAGACUGCUAGUGUUCAGAACAUCCCAAAGCAUAUUACCGUCAUCCCGAAACUAGACAUCCCUAAAUACUGACGUCAUGAGGAAUUUUGAUGAAACAAUGACCAGAAUGAUUUAGACAGAACGCCUUUUAAGUUAGUCCAGCGCAUUCAUGAAGAGCACCCACUCGUCCCCGACAAUAUGCUGGAUGGGGUGGACAUUCGUCGAAAGAGGAGAUUGAGAUGUUACAGCAGUGGAGAAGAAAGACUAGGAAAUACUGCAGCAAAGGAGAAAAAACUAGUGAUUGAGGAGGAGAUACAGCAGCGAAGACAGAAAACUCUAUAGAUUGAGGAGGAGAUACAGUAGCGAAGGAGAAAGUUGAUUGAUUGAGGAGUAGGUACAUGAGUGGAGAAGAAAUUAUAUAUUAAUUGACGUACAGCAGUGAAGAAGAUUGAAGACUAUAUUGAGGAGAUACAGCAGUUAAGAAGAAAGAAGACUAUAUUAAUUGAAGAGUAACAGUAGCUAAGAAGAAAAACGAGAUUGAUUGAGGAGUAGGUACAGGAGUGGAGAAGAUAGACUAUAUUUCAAUUUAAGGAAAGCAGGGAAGAAGAAAGACUAUAUUAAUUGAGAAUACAGCAGGGAAGAAGACGAUGAGAUCAAGCAAAUAAGAAUAGUUACACGAUAGUUACCCAGAGGAGAAACCAAUCGUUAAACAUUAAGUGUGUAUAUUUUAUUUUAAUGUAUUAUGCCACCUUUUUUUAUUAGCCCUAAAAUAGCAAUUCUUGCAACUAAAUCUCAUCUUUUUCGCUGCUGUAUCAUCAUCUCUUCGCUGCUGUAUUCCCCCCUCAAUCUGUGUUUCUCCUUCGCUACUAUACUCAUCCUUUUCUUGUUCUGAAAACUGCAAGACCUUCCAUUAAUACAAAUGCUAUAUGCCGA